Non-coding RNA from Rattus norvegicus (Norway rat), 9300 nucleotides. The record is from RefSeq and is a predicted model, not a curated record. Lineage: Eukaryota; Metazoa; Chordata; Mammalia; Rodentia; Muridae.
CAUGUGCAUGCGAUGUGCCUGAGGAGGCCAGAAGAGGGCAUCAGAUCUCCUGGAACUGAAGUCACAGAUUCAAAGUUGGGAGCUGCCAUUUGGGUGCUAGGAAUUGAACCUUAGUCCUCUGGAAGGGCAGAUAGGAUCAUCUCUCCAGUCCUGACUUCUUUCUUUAAAAUUAUUUAGUUAUUCUCUCUUCUCUGUCUGUGUGUCUGUCAGGUCAGAGGACAACUUUCCAGGAGAACCCUUACUUUCUUUCCACUUUGUUUUUGAGACAUGAUCAGCCUCUCAUUUUCGCCACUGAUCAGGAACUUCUGAUCAGUGUCCCGUCUCCAUCACCCAUCCCUUGAGUUUGGAUGGGUGUGGGCAUCCAGACUCAACUCCUCAUGCUUGUGCAGCAAAUAUUUUGCUGACAGAUCCAUCUCCUUAGCCUAGGGUAGAAUCUUCUUGCUAUGACCCUCCUGGAAAAGGUGAAGAAAUUCCAGAGAGACAGGCGUAUCCUUACAUUCGGCUGUCUGGCUCUUGAGACGCCAUACACCCAGGAGUUGAUGUUUCCUUGAAAUCCCACACUAGGAAGUGAAAAGUCUGAAUCUCAGUGACAGCCAGAGGAGGAUCUUGUCUACCACGAAGGGGAUUCACAGCUCUGAUAACAUAUUGGACCAACUUGCAAGACGGAGACAAGCUGAGACAAGGUGGGCAGCCGUGGGCAGGGUUGACCAGGAUUGCUUAGUUAUGCAUACUUCUUACCCUCUGUCUAAACCUAAAUCUUAUAUCUGGGUUCCAAAGAUAGACUUGGGGAGGUGACUAGACAUCAUUGGUGUUUCCUCCUAGUGUGGCUACAUUGGAUAAAUCUCUGUCUUUCUGUCUCUCUGUCCCUCUGUCUCUCUGUCUUUCUCUGUCUUUCUCUGUCUCUUGCUGUCUCUCUCUGUCUCUCUCUGUCUCUAUCUCUCUGUCCUCUUCCCCACCUCUGUCUUUCUCUCUCUCUCUUAACUUUUUAACACUACUUGUGGCUUUAAUUGUCGUACUGACUGAGGAUGAGUGGCUAAGCUCAGGUGUUAAGGUAGACAACUCCAGUACCAUCUCUGUGUCCUUGUGUAGCAGAAAGCCAGUGACAGAGGGCUAAGUGCUGUGCCUCUCGGUGGUGGCAGGAGAGCAGAAAAGAGCAAACACCAUGGCCUCAAGGACCUUUUUUUUUUUUUUUUUUUUUUUUUCGGAGCUGGGGGCCGAACCCAGGGCCUUCUAGGCAAGCGCUCUACCACUGAGCUAAAUCCCCAACCCAUCAAGGACCUUUUAUAAGAUCCUUUAUCACACCGUGAUGGAGAACCCUCACUACUUAACCGAAGGCCCCUCAUCUUCUAAAAACACAACAAAGAAAAAUAAUUACACUUCAGUGGGUCUUUUGAAGUAGACACAUUUCAUUCAUAACAAUGUGGUAGCUGUAGCUUGAAUUUUUUUUUUGAGCAAAUUUUUAUGCUGUUUUUCAUAAUGGCCAUCCCAGUUUAUAUCCCUACCAACAGUGUGCAGAGUAGAACAAAUAUUUUUAAAACAUAACUGUAUCCCAUGCAAUAUUCAGAAGGCUAACUAUUCGAAGACUUUAUUUAGAAUUCCAACUUCAUGGAGCAUUCUGAAUUUUUGAUUUGUCCAGGCUGACAUCAGCACAAGGGAUUCUCUGAAAUUCCAGCUGUUGGGCUUCCAGGUUCUGCCAAGGUUGUGAAUUAGGAGAAUGGUCUCUCCUGGCGCCGGUCCAUCAGCCUCAGGAAGCAUACUUCAUCUCCCAAAUGUCACAGCCUCAACUUUGUCAGGAUGGCCAGCAGCCUGGUUUUGUUUGCAGACAUCCUGCUGGUGGCAGCAGUAGCUUCUUCAAUAAGACACACACAGUGGCAAACAGCCUGUCCCAUCGAACCUUCCACAUGGAAACAAGCUGCAAACCGCUGCAUCAGGAAAGGUGCUAAGCUCAACUCACGUUCUGGUAACAUGACUCCUUAAACGACUUUGAGGCAGGAGGGCCAGGAUCCUGUUAGGAAACUUCUCAGGCAGUUGAUCAAAGGUUGGCCAUUCUGAUUUUGCCAUCCUCCUCCCUCUUUUGUUCUGGGCUUUCUCAGACAAAGGCAAGUUCUGAGAGGAAGGAGUCAGACCACAACGGCUUUGUAAAUAGUUAGAAACUCUACCCAGCUGGGUUAUAGUCCCUUGUCUGCAGCUAGACAACCAUGGCCUCAGUAAAGACCUAGAGUCAAGUAGUGCUCUGCAGAAAGGAAGGAUCUGUUGGCAUCUCCCCCCUGGAUAAAGCAGCUGUGGAAGGGGCUCAGAUUGCUUGCUCCCUUAGCCUGAGGAUCUGAGUUCAAGACCUAGAGCUAGUAUAAAAAGCCAAGCAAAUCUGUGUAUACCUGUAACCCCAGUACGGAGAGGGCAGAGACAGGAGGAUCCCUGGAGUUUGCUGGCCAGACGGUAGAGCUGAAUCAAGGUCUGGGUGAGAUUCUGUGUCUCACAAAAAAAAAAAAAAAAAAAAAAAAAAAGGUAGAGAGCAAAUGAGGAAGGCACUGGGCGCUCACCUCCUCGAGCCUGCUUGGUAGCGCGCAUGCGCACCUCGCAGAGUCUCAGUGAGACGCAUACACACAAAAGAAAGGGUUAAAGAGCCCCAGUUUGCCUCAUCUAGCCUACAUUCAGUCCCGCUUCAUUUGUUUAAGGGUGUGAAAAGAUUGAAAGACUUGAAUCUGGGUUGAUAACUAUACUGUGCCUAUCGACCCUGACAAAUGCCAAAACACCUACCCGAGGCCUGAGUGGCGGUCUUGUUCGUGUCUCCUUCGGUGGAGGCAGGCUGCCAGAACCCCAAACACACACAAUACAUUGGCUUCUGCUCAAAAGAACCCGACACUCAUUGCCAACAACGUCCCCACCUACCAUCAUCCCUGGCCACCCCUUCCUGGAAAAAGUGAUGGAGAGAGGCCAUGGGGUAAGUGGAUCCAAAAGCACACUCAGAGAAUUUCCUGUUAAAACGUGCCACACUGAAAGUUCACCGGGACCCCAGCAGUCAUGGACUGAUGGUUGGACUCUGAUGGAGGCUCGCUUACUCAGAUGCAUGGUAAGCAGAAGUUAGCAAACAUUUGUGUUGUACUUACCUCUUCAGAGGUGUCCGAAUCGCACAGGAAGGAGAUCACCAAUGAGAUCUGGAUUCCCUCAACACGGUACUGCAAAGAUUAAACAACCCCCCUUUCUUGCUCCUCCUUUCUCCUGCCUUCCCCUUCCCCCACACAUUAUAGUCUAAACAAAUGGCUACUUAGACAACAGGAGAACUAGAGAACAAUUCACCAGCUUUCUGUCCUUGACAGACCCAGUGCUGUUAAUGAAUUUUCCUUCUCACACACUGUUUGGGGGGCAUUGGAUUUACUGAUAUGACAUCCAGGAGACCCCUGUUUGGGGAUAUUGGACUUACUGAUGUUCACAGGUCCCAGACAAUCUUCUCCUCAGCCCUUCUGCGCUAGUCCCUUCUCUUGCUUCAGCGUCACGCUCAGAGAACCCUCUCUGGACACCUCUGCCUUUAGCUGGCCUUUUGGUAACAUGGCUACUCUUUUGUUCCCAUUUAAAUGCUCUCUUAGUUAUGGGACAAUGCAUUUAAUACAUGACGGCUUUGAGGAAAUACUUUCCAUGUGAGUUGAACCCCAUCCUCCCCCCAGUCCCCAAAAAGGGACAGAAAACUGGGUAGAGGUGGCGUAUGCCUUUAAUGUCAGCACUCAAGAGGCAGAGCCAGGUGGAUCUCUGAGUUCAAGGCCAGUCCAGUCUACAGAGAGAGUUCCAGGAUAGCCAGGGCUACACAGAGAAACCCUGUCUCAAAACAAAAACAAAAAACAAAAACAAAAACUUCAAAUAUGACCUUAUUUGUAAAUAGGGUGAUUAUAGAUUAUAGUUAAGAUUAGAUCACUCUAGACAAGAAUGGACCCUUAAUCCAGUAUUACUGGUGGCUUUAUAAGGAGAAGCUAUGAAAAAAAAAAUCAAACAUGGACAGUUGGGGAGAAAGCCAUAUAAUGACAGAGACAGGAGGCUUAUAGCUUUAAGUCAAGGACUGCCACCAGACUCUAGCAAGAUGCAGGGAGGGAAUCCCCUGCCGUGAUCUCAGGAAGUUCUCACGCCUUGAUUUGGGACGUGCCAGCCUUUAGAAACCACCCGUGUCUAUUGUUUGUGUCACUUAAUGACAAGAACACAUUCCCAGCAAAGGGUGCUUUGGUUUGCUCUACGCAAGUUGACACAAGCCAGAGACAUUUGGAAAGACGAAACUUCAAAUUGAGAAAAUGCCUCCAUCAGAUUGGCCUGCCGACAAGUCUGUAGGGUAUUUUCUUGUCUAAUGAUUGACGUGGGAGGGGCCGGCUCACUGUGGAUGGAUGGUGUCACCUCUAGGCAGGUGGUCUUGGGAGGCAUACGAAAGCAAGCUGAGCAAGCCAGGAGAGCAAACCAGUAAGUACUGUCCCUCCAUGGUGGGUGCUUUAGUUCCUGCCCCCAGGUUCCUGAUUUGAGUUUCUGCCCUGGUUUCCUCCAUAUUGGACUGUAACCUGUAAGCCAAAGAAACUCUUUUUGUCCCCAUGGGGCCUUCGAUCAUGGUGUUUUUUUUUGUCCUAGCAAUAGAAACCUAAUUAAGACACACAGCUGACUCAAUUGUGUAAGCGUCCUUAAGUGUAUUCACAAAGACCUAGAUGGGAUAGACCAGCCAUUUAACAAGGACUGUGUCUUAGUUAGGGUUUUAUCCCUAUGAAGAGACACCAUGACCAAGGCAAUUCUUACAAGGCACAACAUUUAAUUGUUGUUGGCUCACAGUUUCAGAGGUUCGGUCCUCAUCAUGGCAUGAUGAAAAGCAUGGCAUGCAUUCAGGAUGACACGGUGCUGGAGAAGGAGCUGAGGGUUCUGCAUCUUGGUCCGAAGGGAGUCAGAGGAGACUGUGUUCCACAGGCACCAAAAGAAGGGUCUCUUCUGCAUUAAGGGGAGCUUGAGCCUAGGAGCCCACAAAGCCCACCUAUACAGUGACACAUUUCCAUCAACAAGGCCACACCUACUCCAACAAGGCCACACCUCCUAAUAGUGCUGCUUUCUAUGGGCCAAGCAUAUUCAAGUGGCAAACAUGGGAUGUAUGACGUUGCUGACAGCAUCGCACAGCAUCUGGCUUGCACUACGUUUUUAAAUACACAGGUAUAAGGAGCUCACUAUAGAACAGCAGUAAAACGGUAUAGCAUAGCAAAUGCAUUAAACCAGUAACCUAGUCAAUUACUAUUUUUAUUGAACAUUAUGUGCCAUACAAAAUCAUAUGGGCUCUGCUUCUCUUCAGAUGGGAUUGCAAUAAACUUGAGUAUACCAUGAUCACCACAAACAUGUGACCAAUGCAUUAUGCCACAAUGUCAGACUAGUGACACGCUAGGUAAACACGACUUUUCUCCGUUAUAAUUUUAUGGGGCCCUGCUACGGGUCGUAUCUGAAGGCUUUCCCCCAAAGGAUUGAUUCCCAGCCUGUGACACUAUUGGGAGGUGGUGGAACCUACAUGGUUAGUUAGAUAACAUAGGUCAUUCAGGAUAGAUCUCCAUUUCUUUGUUUCCUGGCCACAAGCUCCUGCGGUGAAAUUCUAUCUGAUGCAGACCCAAAGAAACAUGGUUGAUGGAUCGUGGUCUGAAAUCAUGAGCUGAAAUAGAUCUUCCCUCCUUGUAAGCUCUUUGUCUCAUUGCCUGAAACGUCAUGAGACCAUGCAGGACGUGCAGUCAUAAGAAGUCAGGAGAAGCAGGUAUGAUGUCUACUGAGUUCCCUACUCUGUCUUCAGCAUUGAACCCAGUGCCCAGCACACAGUAGGUGCUCUAUGGAUGGUUAUGAAUGAGAGGACAGCGGACUCGCAUUUGAGAGACAAAGGGUUCACUCUGGUUUGGUGAUUCCUGGGGUCUUUCUGGGGAGUAUGACUUUUUAAAAGUUAUGAGAAGGGGCUGGGGAAAUGUUAAGACUGAGUGCUUACUGCUCUUCCAGAGGGCCAGGCCUCAGCUCCUACCUUUCCCAUGCUGGCCUACAACCAUCUGUAACUCCAGUUCUGGAGGACCUGAUACACAAGACUCCUCUGGCCUUGUGUACUCUUGCCUGCACAAGGUGCACUUGAAGUCACACAUUUUCUUAUAUACCCAUAAAAUUUAAAACUAAAUAAAUAUUAAUGAAAAGAGUCGCAGCCAACGAAACAACAGGAUUUUUCUUGGCUAUCGUUUCCCUAACGAUGUACCAACAGGAGAGCACGGAGGAGCUUAAAGGAAGCUGUUUGAACAUAAAGUGCUUUGAAGACUACCAUUGGUGGUGGCUAAUUUUGAUUGUCAACCUGAUGGGAUCUGGAAACCUAGGAAACCAUCUUUGGGAUUGUUGGUGAGGAAGUUUUUUAGAUUGGUUUAACUAAUGUGGGGGAAAACUAUUAUCAUCAUCACCACCACCAGCAGCAUCACCACCACCAGCAGCAUCACCACCACAACCACCACCACCUCGACCUCCACCUCCACCAUUACCAUUAUUUGAGAAAACUUCUCAUUGUAUAUCCCUGCUGGCUGGAACUUGCUAUAUAGACAAGGCUGGCCUCAAACUCAGCAAUCUGCCUCCUUUCGCCUCCUGAGCGCUGCGAUUGAAGUCGUGUGCCCCUAUGCCCAUUAUUUAAAAAUUUAUUUACUUCACAUCCCAGUAUCAAUCAUCCCCCUCUCCAAACACAGCUCCUCUCCCAACUCCCCUCUUCCCCUUCCCUCUGAGAAGGGGAAGGUUCACCCUGGCUAUCGCCCCACCCUGGCACCUUACUGCAGGACUAGACACAUCCUCUCCCAGUGAGGCCAGACAAGACAGCCCAGUUAGGGAAAUGGAAUCCAUAGGCAGACAACAGAUUCAGGGUCAGAUCCCGCUCUAGUUGUUGGGGGGCCCACGUGAGGACUGAGCUGCAGACCUGCUACCUAUGUGCAGGGAGCCUAGAGCCCAGUUCACGUGUGCUCUUUGGUUGGUGGUUCAGUCUCAGGGAGUGCGAGGUCAGUCUUCCUGUGGAGUGCCUGUCCUCUUCAGUUCUCUCAGUCCUUCUCCCAACUCAUCCACAAGACUUUCUCUGAGCUCCACCUAAUGUUUGGCUGUGGGUCUUUGCAUCUGUUUCUAUUGUCUGCUGAGUGGAACCUCUCAGAGGGCAGGGAUGCUAGGAUCCUGUCUGGUUGUCCCUGGCUGUGGCUCUUCAUGCCCGUUUUAAAUGUAGGCAGCCCCAUCCCAUGGUCAGAAGACUUAAAAUCCACUAAAAUGGGAAAAAAUAGCUGAGUACCAGCAUUCACCUCUCUCUGCUGCCUGUCUGUGGAUGGGAUGUGGCCAGCUGCCUCACAUUCCUGCCGCUGAGAAUCCCAUGCCACGAGAAACUGCAGCCUCAAGAUGUAAGCGAAAAUAGACCCCUCUUUCCCUAAGUUGCUUGUCCCGUAUUUGGUCAGAGCAACUAGAAGAGUAACAAAAUAUAGUAGGUGAUCAUGUGUGCUUUGUGAGGGUGUGAACAAACGGGUGGGUUUUGUACUACCUGCACUUGAGAAAAAGUGUCAGGACAUGGCCACAGGUGCAGUUCGAGUGGUCCAGGAUGGACUAAAGAGUGGAAAACCAUUCUUGUCUUCAGUGGAACACGAGGUCUUUGGCCUCAUAGGUUGAUGGAGUUAGCGAAGAAAUACCCUUCCUAUUAUACAGAACCUGCAUUCUGAACAAAUGGCCCCUGGACUUGCCAAAUGUGGUUUAAUACAAAGUCAGUGACACAGAACCAUAGAUGCGAGGCCAUCUGUCCUUUCCACAGUGGGUAGUGUCUCUCCUAGAGAGGAGUCUCUUGAACUGGUGCACGUUAUCCCACAGAACUCCCUAUCAGUCACCCUCAGCUCAAAGAAGUGUCAGUGGAAGAAAAAAGGUGGAGACAGACCAUAAUAAGUCAAGGAAGUGUACAGUGAAGGCAGAUGGGGCCUGCGAAUGGUUAAAGGAAAGAAGGUAGUAAGGUCGUUUUCCCAUGCUCUUAUGCCAGGUGACACCCACAUCUAAGUGACUUCACAAACUACAGGCUUACCUCUUGAUGAUGUCAUUGGUGUCCCAGUCACGUGUAUGUGGGAUGUAGAAGGUGGUGUGAUCAAGGUAGUAUGUGUAAUGAUUCUGUGCCAAUCAGGGACCCAAGGUCAUUCUGCCCCCUGGCCCUGGCUCUGCUAUCCUUACUGCUGGCUCACGAACUCUUUGCUUGUUCAUGGCAGGACAAUCAUAGAAAUGGCACUGCUUAGAAACAUCUGUACUAAUUCAACAGAAUGGUUUUAUACCAAUGAGUACAACCCACUCUAAAGAAUAAAACUUCUGCUUUCUUUUUCCUCACGUUUGUAUGAUGUACAUGUGUGUAUGCAUGCAUAUUCUAUGAGGUGGUGGUUUGAAAUAUGAUUGGCCCAGGGAGCGGCACUAUUAAGAGGUGUGAUCUUGUUUGAGGAAAUGUGUCACUGUGGGGGUGGGCUUUGAGAUCCUCCUCCUAACCAUAUGGGAGCUGGUCUUCUAGCAACUUUCAGAUCAAGAUGUAGAACUCCCAGCAACUCCAGCACUAAGCCUGCCUGAACACUGCCAUGCUCCUACCUUGAUGAUAAUAGACUGAACCUCUGAACCUGUAAGCCAGCCCCAAUUAAAUGUUGUCCUUACAAGAGUUGCCUUGGUCAUGGUGUCUCUUCACAGUAGUAAAACCCUAAGACAUACAGUUGUAUUGUUUAGCAUGUGUACAUUGUCAGACCUCAAAGGAGACAUCAGUGUGGCCAACUUCCCUGGUUCCCCACUUGUCUUUUUCAUUUUUGCUCAAUUUCCCUCACUGCACAGACCGUGUGUCCCUGGCAAAGCAAUUCAUUGCCUCUUUCUUCUGUUCCUGAAGCCCCUCUCUGGACAGCCGGUGCAAUGGCGUCUCAUGUCUGCUUAGGCUCCUCCUGGCUCUGACAAGGUUUUGCUGACCCUGGCAGUUUCAAGGAAUACAGGCAGCCCACAGUCGUUUGUGCCAGACCUGCAGCCAUUUUGACUCCACGUGCAGAAAAGCCUGGACGGACAGACCACCCUCCAGAUGAGGACAGUUUAUAUGGUGGCCAGGCGCAUCUCUUGAGAAGGAGGUUGUCUCCUCAAGAAAUAAGGCUUGUCAGGCAUCAGUGGAAAAAGAGGCCCUUGGUCCUGUGAAGGCUCAACACCCCAGUGUAGGGGAAUGCCAGGGUGGGGAGGCAAGGGAGUGGUGGGUGAGUGUGGGGGAGGGGCACCCUCAUGGAGGCUGGGCGUGGAGGGAUGGGAUGGGGGUUUCCAGAGGGGAAACCAGGA